RNAcentral lists this ribosomal RNA (254 nucleotides) under uncultured bacterium. RNAcentral describes it as "partial 16S ribosomal RNA". It matches the Rfam family "Bacterial small subunit ribosomal RNA", at positions 524 to 776 of the family's 1533-position model. The record is from RNAcentral.
UACGUAGGGGGCUAGCGUUGUCCGGAAUCAUUGGGCGUAAAGAGCGUGUAGGCGGUCCGGUAAGUCCGCUGUGAAAGUCGGGGGCUCAACCCUCGAAUGCCGGUGGAUACUGUCGGGCUAGAGUGCGGAAGAGGCGAGUGGAAUUCCGUGGUGUAGCGGUGAAAUGCGCAGAUAUCAGGAGGAACACCUAUUGCGAAGGCAGCUCGCUGGGACGUAACUGACGCUGAGACGCGAAAGCGUGGGGAGCAAACAGG